GCCCCCUUGGUGAAAUGGAUAUCACGAAUCUCUCCUAAAGAUUAGUUACAAGUUCGAUUCUUGUAGAGGGCGCCA
This 75-nucleotide transfer RNA is filed under the name Erysipelotrichaceae bacterium. RNAcentral describes it as "tRNA-Arg". It matches the Rfam family "tRNA". From Rfam's summary of the family: Transfer RNA (tRNA) molecules are approximately 80 nucleotides in length. Their secondary structure includes four short double-helical elements and three loops (D, anti-codon, and T loops). Further hydrogen bonds mediate the characteristic L-shaped molecular structure. tRNAs have two regions of fundamental functional importance: the anti-codon, which is responsible for specific mRNA codon recognition, and the 3' end, to which the tRNAs corresponding amino acid is attached (by aminoacyl-tRNA synthetases). tRNAs cope with the degeneracy of the genetic code in two manners: having more than one tRNA (with a specific anti-codon) for a particular amino acid; and 'wobble' base-pairing, i.e. permitting non-standard base-pairing at the 3rd anti-codon position. The record is from RNAcentral. Lineage: Bacteria; Bacillati; Bacillota; Erysipelotrichia; Erysipelotrichales; Erysipelotrichaceae.